This 450-nucleotide ribosomal RNA is filed under the name uncultured bacterium. Its description in RNAcentral is "partial 16S ribosomal RNA". It matches the Rfam family "Bacterial small subunit ribosomal RNA", at positions 354 to 796 of the family's 1533-position model. The record is from RNAcentral.
GUGGGGAAUCUUCCGCAAUGGACGAAAGUCUGACGGAGCAACGCCGCGUGAGUGAUGAAGGUUUUCGGACUGUAAAGCUCUGUUGUUUAGGACGAAAGUGCCUGUUGCAAAUAGUUACAGGUAUUGACGGUACUGAACGAGGAAGCCACGGCUAACUACGUGCCAGCAGCCGCGGUAAUACGUAGGUGGCAAGCGUUGUCCGGAAUUAUUGGGCGUAAAGAGCAUGUAGGCGGGAAUCUAAGUCUGUUGUGAAAAUGCGGGGCUCAACCCCGUAUUGCGAUGGAAACUGGGUUUCUUGAGUGCAGGAGAGGAAAGGGGAAUUCCCAGUGUAGCGGUGAAAUGCGUAGAUAUUGGGAGGAACACCAGUGGCGAAGGCGCCUUUCUGGACUGUGUCUGACGCUGAGAUGCGAAAGCCAGGGUAGCGAACGGGAUUAGAAACCCGUGUAGUCC